RNAcentral lists this non-coding RNA (24 nucleotides) under Heterocapsa rotundata. The record is from RNAcentral. Lineage: Eukaryota; Dinophyceae; Peridiniales; Heterocapsaceae. RNAcentral also lists the same sequence under 1 other name.
CCAGGCCCGGAAUGAAGCAGCGCU